This 799-nucleotide long non-coding RNA is filed under the name Equus caballus (horse). Its description in RNAcentral is "lncRNA (ENSECAG00000042846.2)". The record is from RNAcentral. Lineage: Eukaryota; Metazoa; Chordata; Mammalia; Perissodactyla; Equidae.
GCAAACAUCUUGGCUUCAGACACUGCUUCCAAAUACACUGACUGUCAAUUACUUGUGAAGAUGAAUUUAGAAAAGAAUCAAAACAUUAACUACAAGGAGAAGAAUUAACACUGAAAUGAAGAAUCCCCUGCUGCCAGCUAUCAUAAUGGUCAUGCUUCUAAGUUCAAGAAAGGCUGUUGCUCCAGCCAAGCAUAAAUUGCUUCACCUGCUGUUAAUGGAAGAUGACCUGUAUUUAAGACCAGUGGAUGAUGGAUGUGGAAUCUGAAGAUGAGAAGACAAAUUUAGGGUGGCAAGUGCUUCUGGAGGAUGUUUUCUUUUCUUUAAGAAGUGCUACACGCAAGCGUCAUGAGGACAUAGACUCUCUUGUUCACUGCCAUAUCAUAAGGCAUGUUGUUGUGCUGAUUCCUGGAUUAAUAUUUUGUGACCUCAGAUUCCUCUGCCAACAACAGUCUCACAAAGAUUUGCUGUUUGCCAUAGUGGGGCUCAAGAGAGGGCAUGUGGGUCAUUUUUGGAACCACUCAGGAAAACAAAUUUCUCAGAUGAAGAUCCAGAUGAUAUUCUCUUCACAAAGACAUUGAAAAAUAUUUGGUGGAAGGAGCAAGAACAUCUUUGGGAAGAAAUGUAGUGACUAUUCUCUGUGCUAAGAGAUGAUAAGAAACAGACAAGACAACAAGAGAAAAAGAUAGAAGAUACCAAGAGUUGGUGAAGAAAUGCAGCAACUGAAACUCUUAUAAUACUGCUGGUGGACGUAUAAACUGCAACAAACAAUUUGGAAAACCAUUUGGCAGUGUUUACUAAA